AUUGAACGCUGGCGGCAGGCCUAACACAUGCAAGUCGAGCGGAUAAAGGGAGCUUGCUCCUGGAUUCAGCGGCGGACGGGUGAGUAAUGCCUAGGAAUCUGCCUGGUAGUGGGGGAUAACGUCCGGAAACGGGCGCUAAUACCGCAUACGUCCUGAGGGAGAAAGUGGGGGAUCUUCGGACCUCACGCUAUCAGAUGAGCCUAGGUCGGAUUAGCUAGUUGGUGGGGUAAAGGCCUACCAAGGCGACGAUCCGUAACUGGUCUGAGAGGAUGAUCAGUCACACUGGAACUGAGACACGGUCCAGACUCCUACGGGAGGCAGCAGUGGGGAAUAUUGGACAAUGGGCGAAAGCCUGAUCCAGCCAUGCCGCGUGUGUGAAGAAGGUCUUCGGAUUGUAAAGCACUUUAAGUUGGGAGGAAGGGCAGUAAGUUAAUACCUUGCUGUUUUGACGUUACCAACAGAAUAAGCACCGGCUAACUUCGU
This 483-nucleotide ribosomal RNA is filed under the name uncultured bacterium. RNAcentral's name for it is "partial 16S ribosomal RNA". It matches the Rfam family "Bacterial small subunit ribosomal RNA", at positions 30 to 506 of the family's 1533-position model. The record is from RNAcentral.